AGAGCGCAUAGGGGAUGCCUUGGCUCUCAGAGGCGAUGAAGGACGUGAUAAGCUGCGAUAAGCUUCGGGGAGGUGCAAAUAACCUUCGAUCCGGAGAUUUCCGAAUGGGGCAACCCAAUUUAUAGCGAUAUAAAUUACCCUACGGGGGGCGAACCCGGGGAACUGAAACAUCUAAGUACCCGGAGGAAGAGAAAAUAAUAAUGAUUUCCUGAGUAGUGGUGAGCGAAAGGGAAAGAGCCUAAACCAGCGAUGUUACGGCAUUUCUGGGGUUGUAGGACCACAAUAACUGUUACCUUUAAGAACUGGAACACUUCUGGGAAGAGUGAUCAAAGAGGGUGAAAAUCCCGUACAGGUAAUUAAACUAAACAGUAGUGGUAUCCUGAGUAGGGCGGGACCGGGGAAAUCCUGUCUGAAUCUGGCGGCACCAUCCGCUAAGGCUAAAUACUACUGAGAGACCGAUAGUGAACAAGUACUGUGAAGGAAAGGUGAAAAGUACUUCGAAUAGAAGAGUGAAAUAGAACCUGAAACUGUGCGCUUACAAGCGGUCGGAGUCCACAUUGAUGGAUGACGGCGUGCCUUUUGCAUAAUGAGCCUACGAGUUACUGAAUCUAGCAAGGUUAAUUUCUUCAGGAAAGGUACCGAAGCGAAAGCGAGUCUGAACAGGGCGCUUAAGUUAGAUUAAGUAGACGCGAAACUUAGUGAUCUACACAUGUCCAGGUUGAAGUAACGCUAAACCGUUAUGGAGGACCGAACCGGUAAAUGUUGAAAAAUUUUCGGAUGAGGUGUGUGUAGGGGUGAAAGGCUAAUCAAACUGAGAGAUAGCUCGUACUCUCCGAAAUGCCUUUAGGGGCAGCCUUGUUAAGGUAUUAUAGAGGUAAAGCUACUGAUUGGAUGCGGGGGUUUCACCGCCUACCAAAUCCUGACAAACUCUGAAUGCUAUAAUAUUAAUUAACAGGAGUGAGGCUAUGGGUGCUAAGGUCCAUUGCCGAGAGGGAAAGAACCCAGACCAUCAGCUAAGGUCCCGAAAUAUAUGUUAAGUUGAUCAAACGAUGUCAUGUUGCCUAGACAGCUAGGAUGUUGGCUUGGAAGCAGCCAUUCAUUUAAAGAGUGCGUAACAGCUCACUAGUCGAGUGACGUGGCGUGGAUAAUAAUCGGGCAUCAAACAUAUUACCGAAGCUAUGGAAUAUAUUUAUAUAUUGGUAGGAGAGCAUUCUAACGACGAAGAAGGAGUGUCGCGAGGCAUUCUGGAGUUUUUAGAAGAGAAAAUGUAGGCAUAAGUAACGAUAAUGCAGGUGAGAAACCUGCACACCGAAAGACUAAGGUUUCCCGGUCAAUGCUAAUCAGAUCGGGGUUAGUCGGGUCCUAAGGUUACCCCUGUUUAAUAGGGCAUAUCGAUGGACAGCCGGUUAAUAUUCCGGCACUAGAUAUAAGAGCGAAGUACCGACGCAGAAGUGACAAGCACGCGCACUGACGGAAUAGUGCGUUUAAGGGUGUAGAUAUAUUUUCUAUAGGCAAAUCCGUAGAGAAUGUCGAACCUGAAAGUACCAAGAGCCUUCGGGUGAUUGGAUAGUUGCUGUAAUCCGGCUGCCAAGAAAACGUGCUAAGCAUAUCUUAUAUUUACCCGUACCGCAAACCGACACAGGUAGUCGAGAAGAGAAUUCUAAGGUGCUCGAGUGAUUCAUGGCUAAGGAACUAGGCAAAAUUGUCCUGUAACUUUGGGAUAAAGGACCCCAACGUAAGUUGGGCGCAGAGAAUCGGCCCGGACGACUGUUUAUCAAAAACAUAUGGCUUUGCUAAAUAGUAAUAUGAAGUAUAAGGCCUGACACCUGCCCAGUGCCGGAAGGUUAAGAGGAGAUGUCAUCGCAAGAGAAGCAUUGAAUUGAAGCCCCGGUAAACGGCGGCCGUAACUAUAACGGUCCUAAGGUAGCGAAAUUCCUUGUCGGGUAAGUUCCGACCUGCACGAAUGGUGUAACGAUCUGGGCGCUGUCUCAGCCAUGAGCUCGGUGAAAUUGUAGUAACGGUGAAGAUGCCGUUUACCCGCAACGGGACGGAAAGACCCCGUGAACCUUCACUAUAGCUUAACAUUGAUUUUGGAUAUAUGAUGUGUAGGAUAGGUGGGAGGCUGCGAAGCAGGUACGCUAGUAUUUGUGGAGCCAUCCUUGAAAUACCACCCUUUAUCUAUUUGAAAUCUAACUCGCGAAUGCGAGGACCAUGUUUGGUGGGUAGUUUGACUGGGGUGGUCGCCUCCAAAAGAGUAACGGAGGCUUUCAAAGGUACCCUCAGCACGCUUGGUAACCGUGCGUUGAGUGCAAUAGCAAAAGGGUGCUUGACUGUGAGACAAACAAGUCGAUCAGGUAGGAAACUAGGAUAUAGUGAUCCGGUGGUUCCGCAUGGAAGGGCCAUCGCUCAAAGGAUAAAAGGUACUCCGGGGAUAACAGGCUGAUCACUCCCAAGAGCUCAUAUCGACGGAGUGGUUUGGCACCUCGAUGUCGGCUCGUCACAUCCUGGGGCUGGAGAAGGUCCCAAGGGUUCGGCUGUUCGCCGAUUAAAGUGGCACGCGAGCUGGGUUCAGAACGUCGCGAGACAGUUCGGUCCCUAUCUGUUGUGGGCGUAGAAGCUUGAGAGGACCUGACUCUAGUACGAGAGGACCGAGUUGGACGAACCUCUGGUGUACCUGUUGUGGCGCCAGCUGCAUCGCAGGGUAGCCAAGUUCGGAUGAGAUAAGUGCUGAAAGCAUCUAAGUACGAAACUCACCUCAAGAUGAGGCUUCAUUAAAGGGUCGUUAUAGACGAUGACGUUGAUAGGUUGCAGGUGUAAAGGCAGUAAUGUCAUAGCCGAGCAAUACUAAUUACCCGAAACUUGCUAGU
This 2867-nucleotide ribosomal RNA is filed under the name fermentation metagenome. RNAcentral's name for it is "bacterial LSU rRNA". It matches the Rfam family "Bacterial large subunit ribosomal RNA". The record is from RNAcentral.